Molecule: ribosomal RNA, 301 nt
Filed under: uncultured bacterium
Lineage: Bacteria
Description: partial 16S ribosomal RNA
Rfam family: Bacterial small subunit ribosomal RNA
Source: RNAcentral
CAGUAGCCACGGUAAUACAGAGGGUGCAAGCGUUAAUCGGAUUUACUGGGCGUAAAGGGCGCGUAGGUGGUUAUGUAAGUGAGAUGUGAAAUCCCCGGGCUUAACCUGGGAACUGCAUUUGUGACUGGCGAGCUAGAGUAUGGCAGAGGGGGGUAGAAUUCCACGUGUAGCAGUGAAAUGCGUAGAGAUGUGGAGGAAUACCGAUGGCGAAGGCAGCCCCCUGGGCCAAUACUGACGCUCAUGCACGAAAGCGUGGGGAGCAAACAGGAUUAGAUACCCCCGUAGUCCCUGUCUCUUAUAC